CAGCAGUAUAAUACAGAGAUGUAGUAAGUUAACCCAACAGCAGUAUAAUACAGCGAUGUAGUAAGUUAACCCAACAGCAGUAUAAUACAGAGAUGUAGUAAGUUAACCCAACAGCAGUAUAAUACAGCGAUGUAGUAAGUUAACCCAACAGCAGUAUAAUACAGAGAUGUAGUAAGUUAACCCAACAGCAGUAUAAUACAGCGAUGUAGUAAGUUAACCCAACAGCAGUAUAAUACAGCGAUGUAGUAGGUUAACCCAACAGCAGUAUAAUACAGCGAUUUAGUGAGUUAACCCAACAGCAGUAUAAUACAGCGAUGUAGUAAGUUAACCCAACAGCAGUAUAAUACAGCGAUGUAGUAGGUUAACCCAACAGCAGUAUAAUACAGCGAUUUAGUGAGUUAACCCAACAGCAGUAUAAUACAGCGAUGUAGUAGGUUAACCCAACAGCAGUAUAAUACAGCGAUUUAGUGAGUUAACCCAACAGCAG
Long non-coding RNA from Oncorhynchus keta (chum salmon), 487 nucleotides. RefSeq lists it as uncharacterized. The record is from RefSeq and is a predicted model, not a curated record. NCBI's taxonomy places the organism in Eukaryota, Metazoa, Chordata, Actinopteri, Salmoniformes, Salmonidae. The transcript is spliced from 4 exons.